AGCUUUGCACACUGGCAAUAUUAUAGCCAAUGAGCUUUAUCCAAGGCACAAUUAUUGCUAACUGAAAGCUUUUCCAAAAGAUAUCAAAUAAGAGAAAAGUAAAAUCAUUCUACUUAUCACAUUCAGAUGAAUAUAUGAAUGU
This 142-nucleotide small nuclear RNA is filed under the name Mustela putorius furo (domestic ferret). RNAcentral's name for it is "U4 spliceosomal RNA". It matches the Rfam family "U4 spliceosomal RNA". Rfam says of the family: U4 small nuclear RNA (U4 snRNA) is a component of the major U2-dependent spliceosome. The structure of U4 snRNA from yeast and human has been reported. Lineage: Eukaryota; Metazoa; Chordata; Mammalia; Carnivora; Mustelidae. The record is from Rfam by way of RNAcentral.